This 253-nucleotide ribosomal RNA is filed under the name uncultured bacterium. Its description in RNAcentral is "partial 16S ribosomal RNA". It matches the Rfam family "Bacterial small subunit ribosomal RNA", at positions 524 to 776 of the family's 1533-position model. The record is from RNAcentral.
UACAGAGGGUGCAAGCGUUGUUCGGAAUUAUUGGGCGUAAAGCGCGUGUAGGCGGUUUUGCAAGUCGGGUGUGAAAGCCCUCAGCUCAACUGAGGAAGUGCGCCCGAAACUGCAGAUCUUGAGUACCGGAGAGGAUGGCGGAAUUCCCCAAGUAGAGGUGAAAUUCGUAGAUAUGGGGAGGAACACCGGUGGCGAAGGCGGCCAUCUGGACGGAUACUGACGCUGAGACGCGAAAGCGUGGGUAGCAAACAGG